UCUCAAGAAAAGAAUUUUAGUCCAACCUAAAGUACAUUACAUGCGCACAAAUUACCCCCCUCCCACUUUAGAGCAAUUCAAAUAAGGUACAGCCUAUUUGAUACAGGACCCAACCUUAACUAACGGGUAACAUCAAUUUACAUCUAUAAGUAGGCCUAAGAGCAGCCACCUUUUAAAAAGCGUCAGAGCUUACUACAUUUAUUCUAAUUCCUCAGCCCACAUAGACCCCUUUAACUGUACUGAGAACUUCUAUAUUACUAUAGAACCUUUUAUGCUAGAACUAGUAACAAGAGUUAACCCUCUCCAUAAUGCAAGUAUAAGCCAGCAAGAACCCACCACUGGCAUCUAACAGACCUAACAAAAGUAGCAACUUACACCAGAAAACUCUACUUUACCCACUGUUAACCUUACACCAGAGCAUUUCAAGAAAGAUUAAAAGGAAAAGAAGGAACUCGGCAAACAUUAGCCCCGCCUGUUUACCAAAAACAUCGCCUCUUGUCCAUAUAAGAGGUCCAGCCUGCCCAGUGACUCUUGUUCAACGGCCGCGGUAUCCUAACCGUGCGAAGGUAGCGUAAUCACUUGUCUUAUAAAUAAAGACCAGUAUGAAAGGCAUCACGAGGGCUAAACUGUCUCCUUUCCCUAAUCAGUGAACCUAAUCUCUCCGUGAAGAAGCGGAGGUUAUUAUAUAAGACGAGAAGACCCUAUGGAGCUUUAAACAUCACAACACCUGCCCCCACAUUUUAUUUACCCAGGUAUACCCCCUCACAGCACUCUGAUUGUAUGUUUUUGGUUGGGGUGACCGCGGAGAAAAACUAAUCCUCCGCAAUGAAAGGGAUCUUCCCUAAACAAUAAGCCACAACUUUAUGUAUCCACAAAUUGACAUUCAUUGACCCAAUAUAUUUGAUUAACGAACCAAGUUACCCUAGGGAUAACAGCGCAAUCCACUUCAAGAGCCCCUAUCGACAAGUGGGCUUACGACCUCGAUGUUGGAUCGGGGUAUCCUAGUGGUGCAGCCGCUACUAAAGGUUCGUUUGUUCAACGAUUAAAACCC
RNAcentral lists this ribosomal RNA (1051 nucleotides) under Pristimantis scoloblepharus. Its description in RNAcentral is "partial 16S ribosomal RNA". It matches the Rfam family "Bacterial large subunit ribosomal RNA", at positions 855 to 2596 of the family's 2925-position model. The record is from RNAcentral. Lineage: Eukaryota; Metazoa; Chordata; Amphibia; Anura; Strabomantidae.